AACAAACGCUGGCGGCGUGCCUAACACAUGCAAGUCGUACGAGAAAGGGUCCUUCGGGACCUGAGUAAAGUGGCGCACGGGUGAGUAACGCGUGGAUAAUCUGCCCCUCAGUUGGGAAUAACUCAUCGAAAGGUGGGCUAAUACCGAAUAAUAUUGUGAGACUUUGGUCGAUCAGUCAAAGAGAGCCUCUGCUUGCAAGCCCUCGCUGAAGGAUGAGUCCGCGUACCAUUAGCUUGUUGGUAGGGUAAUGGCCUACCAAGGCGACGAUGGUUAGCUGGUCUGAGAGGAUGAUCAGCCACACUGGAACUGAGACACGGUCCAGACUCCUACGGGAGGCAGCAGUGAGGAAUCUUGCGCAAUGGGGGCAACCCUGACGCAGCAACGCCGCGUGAGUGAGGAAGGUCUUCGGAUCGUAAAGCUCUGUCAGUUGGGAAGAACUACCUAAGGGUUAAUAUCUCUUAGGCUUGACGGUACCAACAGAGGAAGCACCGGCUAACUCCGUGCCAGCAGCCGCGGUAAUACGGGGGGUGCAAGCGUUGUUCGGAAUUAUUGGGCGUAAAGAGCGUGUAGGCGGCCUGAUGUGUCAGAUGUGAAAGCCCUGGGCUUAACCCAGGAAGUGCAUUUGAAACUGUCAGGCUUGAGUAUGGGAGAGG
This 653-nucleotide ribosomal RNA is filed under the name uncultured Smithella sp. RNAcentral describes it as "bacterial SSU rRNA". It matches the Rfam family "Bacterial small subunit ribosomal RNA", at positions 28 to 657 of the family's 1533-position model. Lineage: Bacteria; Pseudomonadati; Thermodesulfobacteriota; Syntrophia; Syntrophales; Smithellaceae. The record is from RNAcentral.